AGCUCCAAUAGCGUAUAUUAAAGUUGUUGCAGUUAAAACGCUCGUAGUCUGAAUUUAGUGCCUGAGUAACGUGGUCUGCCGCAAGGUGUGUACUGCUUACUCAGCACUUUCUUCUGCUGUUGUGCAUCGCUAGCCUUAAGUGGUUGGUAGGUGCCUACUGCAGAUCGUUUACUUUGAAUAAAUUAGAGUGUUUAAAGCAGGCAUUAUUGCCUUGAAUACAUUAGCAUGGGAUAAUAGAAUAGGAUCAAGCAUCCUUUUGUUGGUUGAAGCGUGUUUGAUAAUGAUCAAUAGGAACAGCCGGGGCUGUUUGUAUUUAAUUGUCAGAGGUGAAAUUCUUGGAUUUAUGAAAGACAAACUUCAGCGAAAGCAUUCAGCAAGAAUGUUUUCA
This 388-nucleotide ribosomal RNA is filed under the name uncultured eukaryote. RNAcentral describes it as "SSU rRNA". It matches the Rfam family "Eukaryotic small subunit ribosomal RNA", at positions 587 to 972 of the family's 1831-position model. The record is from RNAcentral.